UAUGGGAGGCAGCAGUGGGGAAUAUUGCACAAUGGGCGCAAGCCUGAUGCAGCCAUGCCGCGUGUAUGAAGAAGGCCUUCGGGUUGUAAAGUACUUUCAGCGGGGAGGAAGGGAGUAAAGUUAAUACCUUUGCUCAUUGACGUUACCCGCAGAAGAAGCACCGGCUAACUCCGUGCCAGCAGCCGCGGUAAUACGGAGGGUGCAAGCGUUAAUCGGAAUUACUGGGCGUAAAGCGCACGCAGGCGGUUUUGUUAAGUCAGAUGUGAAAUCCCCGGGCUCAACCUGGGAACUGCAUCUGGUACUGGCAAGCUUGAGUCUCGUAGAGGGGGUAGAAUUCCAGGUGUAGCGGUGAAAUGCGUAGAGAUCUGGAGGAAUACCGGUGGCGAAGGCGGCCCCUGGACGAGACUGACGCUCAGGGUGCGAAAGCGUGGGGAGCGAAACAGGAUUAGGAUAACC
Molecule: ribosomal RNA, 456 nt
Filed under: uncultured bacterium
Lineage: Bacteria
Description: bacterial SSU rRNA
Rfam family: Bacterial small subunit ribosomal RNA
Source: RNAcentral